UCGAGAAUUUUUUCUCAAUGGGCGCAAGCCUGAAGGAGCGACGCCGCGUGGGGGAUGAAGGUCUUCGGAUUGUAAACCCCCGUGUCAUCCGGCGAACAAACCCCCAUGGUUGAACAGGCCAUGGGUUGAUAGUAGUGGAAGAGGAAGGGACGGCUAACUCUGUGCCAGCAGCCGCGGUAAUACAGAGGUCCCGAGCGUUGUUCAGAUUCACUGGGCGUAAAGGGUGCGUAGGCGGUGGGGCCAGUCUGAUGUGAAAGCUCCGGGCUCAACCCGGAAACGGCAUUGGAAACCUGCCCCGCUGGAGGCCUGGAGGGGGGACUGGAAUGCUGAGUGUAGCAGUGAAAUGCGUAGAGAUUCGAGCGGAACACCAGUGGCGAAGGCGAGUCCCUGGACAGGACCUGA
Molecule: ribosomal RNA, 402 nt
Filed under: uncultured bacterium
Lineage: Bacteria
Description: bacterial SSU rRNA
Rfam family: Bacterial small subunit ribosomal RNA
Source: RNAcentral